GAGUUUGAUCAUGGCUCAGAUUGAACGCUGGCGGCAUGCUUUACACAUGCAAGUCGAACGGCAGCGGGGGCUUCGGCCCGCCGGCGAGUGGCGAACGGGUGAGUAAUGCAUCGGAACGUGCCCAGUGGUGGGGGAUAACUACGCGAAAGCGUAGCUAAUACCGCAUACGCCCUGAGGGGGAAAGCGGGGGAUCUUCGGACCUCGCGCGAUUGGAGCGGCCGAUGUCGGAUUAGCUAGUUGGUGAGGUAAAGGCUCACCAAGGCGACGAUCCGUAGCUGGUCUGAGAGGAUGAUCAGCCACACUGGGACUGAGACACGGCCCAGACUCCUACGGGAGGCAGCAGUGGGGAAUUUUGGACAAUGGGGGCAACCCUGAUCCAGCCAUGCCGCGUGAGUGAAGAAGGCCUUCGGGCUGUAAAGCUCUUUCGGACGGGAAGAAAUGGGGCUCUCUAACAUAGGGCGUCGAUGACGGUACCGUAAGAAGAAGCACCGGCUAACUACGUGCCAGCAGCCGCGGUAAU
Molecule: ribosomal RNA, 520 nt
Filed under: uncultured Azoarcus sp.
Lineage: Bacteria; Pseudomonadati; Pseudomonadota; Betaproteobacteria; Rhodocyclales; Zoogloeaceae
Description: bacterial SSU rRNA
Rfam family: Bacterial small subunit ribosomal RNA
Source: RNAcentral